UGUGUGUGUGUGUGUAUAUAUAUAUAUAUAUAUUUAAAAAAUUCUUUUGACAGAGUCUCGCUCUAUCACCCAGGUCUCGUCUUGAACUCCUGGCCUCAACUGAUCCAUCCACCUCAGCCUCCCAAAGUGCUGGGAUUACAAGCAUGUGCCACUUCUCCCGGCCUGCAAAAUUAUACUUUGAGAGUGCCUUGGAUACAGAAAUUUAAUUCCUAA
Molecule: long non-coding RNA, 213 nt
Filed under: Rhinopithecus bieti (black snub-nosed monkey)
Lineage: Eukaryota; Metazoa; Chordata; Mammalia; Primates; Cercopithecidae
Description: lncRNA (ENSRBIG00000045490.1)
Source: RNAcentral